This 253-nucleotide ribosomal RNA is filed under the name uncultured bacterium. RNAcentral describes it as "partial 16S ribosomal RNA". It matches the Rfam family "Bacterial small subunit ribosomal RNA", at positions 524 to 776 of the family's 1533-position model. The record is from RNAcentral.
UACGAAGGGGGCUAGCGUUGCUCGGAAUCACUGGGCGUAAAGGGUGCGUAGGCGGGUCUUUAAGUCAGGGGUGAAAUCUUGGAGCUCAACUCCAGAACUGCCUUUGAUACUGAGGAUCUUGAGUUCGGGAGAGGUGAGUGGAACUGCGAGUGUAGAGGUGAAAUUCGUAGAUAUUCGCAAGAACACCAGUGGCGAAGGCGGCUCACUGGCCCGAUACUGACGCUGAGGCACGAAAGCGUGGGGAGCAAACAGG